RNAcentral lists this ribosomal RNA (243 nucleotides) under Triticum aestivum (bread wheat). Its description in RNAcentral is "partial small subunit ribosomal RNA". Lineage: Eukaryota; Viridiplantae; Streptophyta; Magnoliopsida; Poales; Poaceae. The record is from RNAcentral.
AUCACACGGGCCGGCUUCACAUCGAUUGAGGAAUGGUGGCUCACCUCCAGGAAAGCGAUCCCUAAGCCAAUGAGACGAAACUUCUACACGGUCACCAUCAUAAUCCACGGACGGGUUUGGAAAGAGCGUAACACAAGGAUAUUUGGUGAGACGAUCAGUACUGCAGAGAGGGUCCUUGGUCUUAUUAGAGAGGACAUAGCGACCUAGCGUGCUGCUGGAAGCAUUGCUGACCUAGCAGCAUGA